AUUGAACGCUGGCGGCAGGCUUUACACAUGCAAGUCGAGCGGGGUGAUGGUGCUUGCACUAUCACUUAGCGGCGGACGGGUGAGUAAUGCUUAGGAAUCUGCCUAUUAGUGGGGGACAACAUCUCGAAAGGGAUGCUAAUACCGCAUACUUCAUACGGGAGAAAGCAGGGGAUCACUUGUGACCUUGCGCUAAUAGAUGAGCCUAAGUCGGAUUAGCUAGUUGGUGGGGUAAAGGCCUACCAAGGCGACGAUCUGUAGCGGGUCUGAGAGGAUGAUCCGCCACACUGGGACUGAGACACGGCCCAGACUCCUACGGGUGGCAGCGGUGGGGAAUAUUGGACAAUGGGGGGAACCCUGAUCCAGCCAUGCCGCGUGUGUGAAGAAGGCCUUAUGGUUGUAAAGCACUUUAAGCGAGGAGGAGGCUCUUUUGGUUAAUACCCAAGAUGAGUGGACGUUACUCGCAGAAUAAGCACCGGCUAACUCUGUGCCAGCAGCCGCCGUAA
RNAcentral lists this ribosomal RNA (503 nucleotides) under uncultured bacterium. RNAcentral's name for it is "partial 16S ribosomal RNA". It matches the Rfam family "Bacterial small subunit ribosomal RNA", at positions 30 to 523 of the family's 1533-position model. The record is from RNAcentral.